This 274-nucleotide ribosomal RNA is filed under the name uncultured bacterium. RNAcentral describes it as "partial 16S ribosomal RNA". It matches the Rfam family "Bacterial small subunit ribosomal RNA", at positions 523 to 796 of the family's 1533-position model. The record is from RNAcentral.
AUACGGAGGGUGCAAGCGUUGUUCGGAAUCACUGGGCGUAAAGGGCGCGCAGGCGGGUUGGUAAGUCAGAUGUGAAAGCCCACGGCUCAACCGUGGAAGUGCAUUUGAAACUGUCAGACUUGAGUACUAGAGGGGAAAGUGGAAUUCCCGGUGUAGAGGUGAAAUUCGUAGAUAUCGGGAGGAAUACCGGUGGCGAAGGCGACUUUCUGGCUAGAUACUGACGCUGAGGCGCGAAAGCGUGGGGAGCAAACAGGAUUAGAAACCCGAGUAGUCC